ACUCAAUCGCUCAGAUCUGGAAAAAUCUCAACACCUCGCAGCCGCACCUCGCUGUCCCAUCUUCUUCUCCUCUCUGUCAGUGUCUCGCCGAACACCGAACCAAACCACACUGAGAAAUCGACGCUCCGAUCACAUCGGUUUCAAGAGCUUCAGUCCAAUGUGCGCUCUCAGAAAUUGACAAAUCGUGGCCUUGGGUUCAAUGCUCGGUUGAGGCUCAACGCGGAACCAAACCAGAGCAAGUCCAGGCCUAGUUCAAAUGCAGGUCCUUCCUGGGUUUCAGAACACUGCCUCACGAAUUUAUUAUGCAGUCCUCAAAUUCGGUGGUCGUCGUCGAGGAGAGUGAGGAGUGUGGUGGCCGCUGGCUAGAGCUAGCUAGCCCUCCCGAUCUGUUUCAAUGGCCUCUUCAGACUCAGUGUAAGAGAGAAGGGUGGAUUUGGGCAGUGGCCAUGGCGAAUCUAGGCAUGGUGGAGGAGCUGGGCAGUGUCGUGGGGAGGGGGGAGGAGCUGGGCAGUGCCGCGGGGAGGGGGGAGGAGCUGGGCAGUGAGCUUGGAGAAGGGGAGAGAGAGAGAGAGAGAGAGAGAGAGAAGGCCAGAUUCAGAUGAAUUUGAU
Non-coding RNA from Prunus avium (sweet cherry), 609 nucleotides. Lineage: Eukaryota; Viridiplantae; Streptophyta; Magnoliopsida; Rosales; Rosaceae. The record is from RefSeq and is a predicted model, not a curated record.